Molecule: ribosomal RNA, 161 nt
Filed under: uncultured bacterium
Lineage: Bacteria
Description: partial 16S ribosomal RNA
Rfam family: Bacterial small subunit ribosomal RNA
Source: RNAcentral
UCCUACGGGAGGCAGCAGUGGGGAAUUUUGGACAAUGGGGGAAACCCUGAUCCAGCCAUGCCGCGUGAGUGAAGAAGGCCUUCGGGUUGUAAAGCUCUUUCAGCCGGAACGAAAAGGUUACGGUUAAUACCCGUGACUAAUGACGGUACCGGAAGAAGAAG